Molecule: small RNA, 106 nt
Filed under: Prymnesium parvum
Lineage: Eukaryota; Haptophyta; Prymnesiales; Prymnesiaceae
Description: partial Betaproteobacteria transfer-messenger RNA
Source: RNAcentral
GCGGUGGAGCGCUCCGACAGAGAGGAAAUUUAACGAGAAAGGAAGGAAGCUGGAAAAGCCAAAGAUAAAAGAUUGGAAAUAGACUCCGGAAAGCGGAAAGCCGGAA